CCCAUGUGGUAGCGGAGCUGGACCAAGUCGGAAGACCCCUCGAAUUUGUUGGAUGAGGAGAGGGUUCUGGGGGGAAGCUUUGGGUUGAUGUGCUCUGGCUUAGUGUUUAAGGUCUGUAGUUGCAGUGGAUUUGAAGAAGUGGAAGCAUAGACAUAGCUGCAGCUAAAGAAUAUAGAGAAGCCAAGAAAGCAAAGCAAGAAAUGGGGCUUUGACAUUCUGAACAGUGGUGGCCGGGGCGGCGGCGUUGGUGGUGGUGGUGGUGGUGACNUGAUGAGGGAGUGAGGAACACAGAUGGGGUAUAUAAAGGAAGGAGAGGUUAGAGGAAAAUG
RNAcentral lists this unclassified non-coding RNA (329 nucleotides) under Hevea brasiliensis (rubber tree). Lineage: Eukaryota; Viridiplantae; Streptophyta; Magnoliopsida; Malpighiales; Euphorbiaceae. The record is from RNAcentral.